RNAcentral lists this ribosomal RNA (460 nucleotides) under uncultured bacterium. RNAcentral's name for it is "partial 16S ribosomal RNA". It matches the Rfam family "Bacterial small subunit ribosomal RNA", at positions 338 to 795 of the family's 1533-position model. The record is from RNAcentral.
CCUACGGGAGGCUGCAGUGAGGAAUAUUGGUCAAUGGACGAGAGUCUGAACCAGCCAAGUAGCGUGAAGGAUGACUGCCCUAUGGGUUGUAAACUUCUUUUAUAUGGGAAUAAAAUGUUCCACGUGUGGGAUUUUGUAUGUACCAUAUGAAUAAGGAUCGGCUAACUCCGUGCCAGCAGCCGCGGUAAUACGGAGGAUCCGAGCGUUAUCCGGAUUUAUUGGGUUUAAAGGGAGCGUAGGUGGAUUGUUAAGUCAGUUGUGAAAGUUUGCGGCUCAACCGUAAAAUUGCAGUUGAAACGGGCAGUCUUGAGUACAGUAGAGGUGGGCGGAAUUCGUGGUGUAGCGGUGAAAUGCUUAGAUAUCACGAAGAACUCCGAUUGUGAAGGCAGUUCACUGGACUGCAACUGACACUGAGGCUCGAAAGUGUGGGUAUCAAACAGGAUUAGAUACCCUUGUAGUC